ACUCCUGCGGGAGGCAGCAGUGGGGAAUAUUGCACAAUGGGCGCAAGCCUGAUGCAGCCAUGCCGCGUGUAUGAAGAAGGCCUUCGGGUUGUAAAGUACUUUCAGCGGGGAGGAAGGCGAUAAGGUUAAUAACCUUGUUGAUUGACGUUACCCGCAGAAGAAGCACCGGCUAACUCCGUGCCAGCAGCCGCGGUAAUACGGAGGGUGCAAGCGUUAAUCGGAAUUACUGGGCGUAAAGCGCACGCAGGCGGUCUGUCAAGUCGGAUGUGAAAUCCCCGGGCUCAACCUGGGAACUGCAUUCGAAACUGGCAGGCUAGAGUCUUGUAGAGGGGGGUAGAAUUCCAGGUGUAGCGGUGAAAUGCGUAGAGAUCUGGAGGAAUAUCGGUGGCGAAGGCGGCCCCCUGGACAAAGACUGACGCUCAGGUGCGAAAGCGUGGGGAGCAAACAGGAUUAGAAACCCGUGUAGUCCC
This 470-nucleotide ribosomal RNA is filed under the name uncultured organism. RNAcentral describes it as "partial 16S ribosomal RNA". It matches the Rfam family "Bacterial small subunit ribosomal RNA", at positions 335 to 797 of the family's 1533-position model. The record is from RNAcentral.